Molecule: ribosomal RNA, 428 nt
Filed under: uncultured marine bacterium
Lineage: Bacteria
Description: bacterial SSU rRNA
Rfam family: Bacterial small subunit ribosomal RNA
Source: RNAcentral
AAUCUUGCGCAAUGGGGGCAACCCUGACGCAGCGAUGCCGCGUGAGUGAAGAAGGUUUUCGGAUCGUAAAGCUCUUUAUCUCCGCAAGGAAAGAGACGUUAGCGGAGGAAUAAGCGCCGGCUAACUACGUGCCAGCAGCCGCGGUAAUACGUAGGGCGCGAGCGUUGUUCGGGAUUACUGGGCGUAAAGGGUAUGUAGGCGGAAAGAUAAGCUAGAGGUGAAAGCUUAGGGCUCAACCCUAAAAUGGCUUUUGGAACUGUUUUUCUAGAGUCAGUCAGAGGUUAACGGAAUUCCCGGUGUAGAGGUGAAAUUCGUAGAUAUCGGGAGGAACACCAGCGGCGAAAGCGGUUGACUGGGGCUGAACUGACGCUGAGGUACGAAAGCGUGGGUAGCAAACAGGAUUAGAUACCCUGGUAGUCCACGCUGUA